GUGUUUGCUUUGGCAGCUCAUAUACUAAAAUUGGAAGGAUACAGAGAAGAUCAGCAUGGUCCGAGUGCAAGAUAGCACACAAAUUCAUGAAGUGUUUCAUAUUUUU
This is a small nuclear RNA of Loxodonta africana (African savanna elephant), 106 nucleotides long. Lineage: Eukaryota; Metazoa; Chordata; Mammalia; Proboscidea; Elephantidae. The record is from Ensembl.